RNAcentral lists this ribosomal RNA (424 nucleotides) under uncultured bacterium. RNAcentral describes it as "partial 16S ribosomal RNA". It matches the Rfam family "Bacterial small subunit ribosomal RNA", at positions 360 to 776 of the family's 1533-position model. The record is from RNAcentral.
AACUUUGGACUAUGGGUGCAAGCCUGAUCCAGCCAUGCCGCGUGAGUGACGAAGGCUUUCGGGCUGUAAACCUCUUUCGGACGGUAAGCAAUGGCGCAGGCUAAUACCCUGUGCGGGUGACGGUACCGUCAUCAGAAGCACCGCCUAACUACGUGCCAGCAGCCGCGGUAAUACGUAGGGUGCGAGCGUUAAUCGGAAUUACUGGGCGAAAAGAGUGCGCAGGCGGUUGAUUAAGACAGGCGUGAAAUCCCCGGGCUUAACCUGGGAACUGCGCUUGUGACUGGUCAGCUAGAGUACGGCAGAGGGGGGUGGAAUUCCACGUGUAGCAGUGAAAUGCGUAGAGAUGUGGAGGAACACCGAUGGCGAAGGCAGCCCCCUGGGCCGAUACUGACGAUCAUGCACGAAAGCGCGGGUAGCAAACAGG